Molecule: ribosomal RNA, 433 nt
Filed under: uncultured bacterium
Lineage: Bacteria
Description: partial 16S ribosomal RNA
Rfam family: Bacterial small subunit ribosomal RNA
Source: RNAcentral
AACGAACGCUGGCGGCAUGCCUAACACAUGCAAGUCGAACGAGACCUUCGGUUCUAGUAGCGCACGGCUACGUACCGCGUGGUAACCUGCCCUUAGGUUCGGAAUCCCUCCCUGAAAGGGGUGCCAAUACCGCAUAAUGUCUUCCUACCAAAGACUUGUGGCCUUAGGCUGGGCUCGCGUUGGAUUAGGUAGUUGGUAGGGGAAAAGCCUACCAAGGCGACGAUCCAUAGCUGGUCUGAGAGGAUGAACAGCCAAAGUGGGACUGAGACACGGCCCAGACUCCUACGGGAGGAAGCAGUGGGGGAUAUUAGACAAUGGGCGAAGGCCUGAUAGAGCAAGGCCGGGUGAGUGAUGAAGGCGGUAGUGUUGUAAAGCUCUUUUGGCCGGGAUGAUAAUGACAGUACCGGGAGAAGAAGCUCCGGCUAACUCCGUG